CGAAACCGAGAGGAAGCAGGAGCCGCGCGUGACUGCAAAUACCCUCAGCUCGUCUUUACGCCGUUUUGUUUCAGGUUGCUAGGCAGCGUGUAGUCGCGAACGGGUGACGUCAUUGCCAAAGCGACACGUUCCGAAGACGGUGUUACCAUAGAAACAAACCUCGUAUACACAAGAGAGGAACCAUUGGAUGAUACUUUGGAACAAAAUAGAACAUGCCAACCCAUACCAUUAAUUGGGUUAUGUAUAGAGGAUAUCAGGAACAAAUUGGAUAAUAUUAAGAAAAAAAUAUGGCUGAAGGAGACCAUCUGAUCUCUGUGGAUUAUGAGGUGUUUGGAAAGGUACAAGGAGUUUUCUUCCGCAAGUACACUCAGG
This is a long non-coding RNA of Bombina bombina (fire-bellied toad), 372 nucleotides long. RefSeq lists it as uncharacterized. The transcript has 3 exons. The record is from RefSeq and is a predicted model, not a curated record. Lineage: Eukaryota; Metazoa; Chordata; Amphibia; Anura; Bombinatoridae.